GAACUCCUGACCUCUAGUGAUCUGUCCAACUCAGCUUCCCAAAAUGCUGAGAUUACAGGUGUGAGCCACCGUGUCCAGCCAGAAAACCUUUGUGGAGGUGCUGGGGAUUGACCCAGGGCCUCAUGCAUGCUAAGCGUGCGCCCUACCACUGAUCUACACCCCCUUUAAUUCUUAACAUCAGAAAUAUUAUUCAACAGACACAUAUCAGAGUUGAGGGAAAUUAUUGGAAAAUUGAGACCAAAAAAAGCAUACAGAAAGUUAAUUUAUUUUCUAGACAGAACUCUGCUAGUAUUAGAAUCAAAUACUUUUAAUUAGAUAGUAAUUUACUUGCUUUCUUGUAACUUAUGGCCAUCUUCUCUAGUCUGUUUGUUACAGUCCUACACAUAUUAAAUAGCAAAAACAAACUAAUUAUAUAUUUUGCAUGAUCAGUAUGUUACAACAUUAAGAUCAGACUAAUAAUACAAGUCACCUACUCCAUUGCCAAUUUUUAUACUCCCUGCAAUCUUACAGCACAUCCUCAUAUGAACAAAAAGCCUUUAUAUUUAUCUUACAGAGGAUAUAAACAUCAAUUUAUAAAAAAGAGACACAAGCCUUAUAUAGUUAAAAGUAAUAUAAUUAACAUGAUUACAAAAACAUUUCUAAUAAAGCAGAGGAAAUAAUUAUAUUGCUUGUAGUUCUAGUAAGAGUUUAUUGAACCAUUAAAAAUAAUUUCAAAACAAUAAAAUACAAAGGCAAAUAUCCAAAUAGUUUUGUAUGGAUCUAGCAUUCACUUUUCCUUGAUCCAACCUAGUUUUAAUUCCUAUGGCCUACAGGAUGGCUUAGAUAAGGAAGAAGCUAAAAAUUGGCUGUUACAGAGUUGCAGUUGUGUGGCAUAUGGGUGAUCUACGUAACUGAAGUUGAAGGGAGAAAUGCAAUCUUCCCCCAAAACCUGCUUUUCCUUCAGUCCACUGUCACAAUCCUGAGUCCAGCUACUCUCUCAACAUCUCCAUCUCCCUGGCUAAAACCUCCCAUCUCUCAUCUGGGUUGUUGUAAAGCCUCCUAACUAACCUCACUUCUUUUGCCUUUGCCUGCUAUGAUUAAUUCCCAACCCAGUAGCCAGACUGAUCCUCUCCUCAAAGCUCUCCAGUGGCAUUUUUUUUUUUUUUUUUUUUUGAGACAGAGUCUUGCUCUGUCACCCAGGCUGGAGUACAGUGGGGCGAUCUCGGCUCACUGCAACCUCCACCUCCCGGGUUCAAGUGAUUCUCCUUCCUCAGCCUCCUGAGUUGCUGGGACUACAGGCGCAUGCAACCACACCUGGCUAAUUUUUUUUUUUUUUUUAGUAGAGACGGGGUUCCACCAUGUUGGCCAGGAUGG
This 1353-nucleotide transfer RNA is filed under the name Homo sapiens (human). RNAcentral's name for it is "HSALNT0014897". The record is from RNAcentral. Lineage: Eukaryota; Metazoa; Chordata; Mammalia; Primates; Hominidae.